CCUAUUGUCGGUGACAAAUUGUACUGAACUGCUUUUCGCCCGAAGCUUCGUGACCUAUUUGGGUCGACCUCGUAUUGCCCGUCUGGGACCAAUACGUGAUAGUGCGUGCUCGAUCAAAUCAGUGGACGCCGCGGAGAAGCUACUCCGGGAUGUUAUUUUUCCGCUCGGGGGCCGCCAACUAGCGUUCCGGGGACCCCCCAAACUCUGCGGUGAGUUCUGUCGGGGUGUCGUGACUGUCUCGCAGGACGAAACCUCAGUGCGGAAGCAAUUGUAGUGUCUGUGCGGAAGCUGGAAGGAACCCCGGUUAUGGGAUCACCUUAGCGGAGGCCCAGGUGCCACGGACGGUGUUUGCAGCCACGAACGGCUCGCUGUUCGCCUGUAAAAAAAGGCAGUGCCUACAUGCCACCGCUGUUGCAAAGUGGGCCAUCGCGCCGAUGCCUGCCCGCGACCGCAGGCCAGGCGCUAAGGAAGCAGCAGGGUUCAGGUUUCUGCUGCCAAUCUUGAUGGACCAGCAGAACACAAGUGCACUGCGAGCUGCCUCAUCUGCGGAGGCGGCCACCCAACCGGAGCUCCCAGCUAUGCCGGGCGGUUCCGGAAACCCAUCUAGUCGGCUUCCCUAAAGGGAUCCAAGCCGAAGACAGUGACGGGGCUGAAGCAGGCUCCUGCGCCCAAAGCCGGCCUCAAGCGCCAGUCGCAAGCCGGAGCCCAAGAAGGCCCAAACUGGGCCACCUACAAAUGUAAAGUCCGGGACUGAGGCGAGGCCCCCGGUCUCAAGGCCAAGGAUUUCCCGCCCUUCCAACCCAUUCAGCCACAGGUUCAAGAUGGACUUCUUCCAAACAUCACUUCCCACGGUCUGAGAUAACUGCAGCGAACAAAAGCCGCCAUCAAAGACGAUCUUCAAUGCCAGUGCCCACAUUCCUAAAAAAAUCACAGUGCGCACACAUGCUCUGGCCUAGUGUGCGUUGGCCCGUUGCGGACGUACUACGAUACAGCACACUGCAGCGUCAGUGGGCAGCUUCUUCUGUGAACAACAAAAUGCUUAGUUCAGAGCAACUACUAACUUGCUUUGGCAUCGUGGAAACUUAUUCGACCGCAUUGUCGCUAU
Dermacentor albipictus is the source of this 1105-nucleotide long non-coding RNA. RefSeq lists it as uncharacterized. The record is from RefSeq and is a predicted model, not a curated record. NCBI's taxonomy places the organism in Eukaryota, Metazoa, Arthropoda, Arachnida, Ixodida, Ixodidae.